Molecule: ribosomal RNA, 698 nt
Filed under: uncultured bacterium
Lineage: Bacteria
Description: bacterial SSU rRNA
Rfam family: Bacterial small subunit ribosomal RNA
Source: RNAcentral
CCGACUCUGGGAUAAGCACUGGAAACGGUGUCUAAUACCGGAUACGAGCUUCAGUCGCAUCUAGGAGCUGGAAAGAAUUUCGGUCUGGGAUGGACUCGCGGCCUAUCAGCUAGUUGGUGGUAAUGGCUCACCAAGGCGACGACGGGUAGCCGGCCUGAGAGGGUGACCGGCCACACGGACUGAGACACGGCCCAGACUCCUACGGGAGGCAGCAGUGGGGAAUAUUGCACAAUGCGCAAGCCUGAUGCAGCAACGCCGCGUGAGGGACGACGGCCUUCGGGUUGUAAACCUCUUAGUAGGGAAGAAGCGAAAGUGACGGUACCUGCAGAAAAAGCACCGGCUAACUACGUCAGCAGCCGCGGUAAUACGUAGGGUGCAAGCGUUAUCCGGAAUUAUUGGGCGUAAAGAUCGUAGGCGGUUUGUCGCGUCUGCCGUGAAAACUGGAGGCUCAACCUCCAGCCUGCGGGGUACGGGCAGACUAGAGUGCGGUAGGGGAGAUUGGAAUUCCUGGUGUAGCGGUGAAACGCAGAUAUCAGGAGGAACACCGAUGGCGAAGGCAGAUCUCUGGGCCGUAACUGACGCAGGAGCGAAAGCAUGGGGAGCGAACAGGAUUAGAUACCCUGGUAGUCCAUGCCGUAAAUUGGGAACUAGAUGUAGGGACCAUUCCACGGUUUCUGUGUCGCAGCUAACGCAUAAGU